This 313-nucleotide long non-coding RNA is filed under the name Mytilus galloprovincialis (Mediterranean mussel). The record is from RNAcentral. Lineage: Eukaryota; Metazoa; Mollusca; Bivalvia; Mytilida; Mytilidae.
AGCAGCAAAAGAAGCACGACAGGGAAAUUUAGACUUGAAGCAUCAGGUAAGGCACAUUGGUAAUUACUUUUCAAAUUCUGUUGAAACAAGUGCACAAGAAGCAACAUACUUAACACUACAGAUGCCUUUAACAAAAGCUACAAGACAAGUUGUAUUCAUUAAUACAUCUCCACGAGAGAAAAGAACUUUCCUCCUAAAACAAUCAUCAGCCUUAGAAAAACUAGGCCCAGACUCUACUGAAAUAGAAUCAGACAAUGAUAUUAAAAGAUACUCGCGAAGACCAAAACAACUGGAUAACUGGUGUCUAGCGGAC